RNAcentral lists this long non-coding RNA (1065 nucleotides) under Equus asinus (donkey). RNAcentral describes it as "lncRNA (ENSEASG00005036369.1)". The record is from RNAcentral. Lineage: Eukaryota; Metazoa; Chordata; Mammalia; Perissodactyla; Equidae.
CUCCAUGUUGUUUUCCACAGUGGCUGCACCAGUUUACAUUCCCACCAACAGUGCACAAAGGGUUCCCUUUUCUCCCCAUUCUCACCAGCCCUAGUUAUCUCUUGUUUUUGUUAUUUUUUUUAACAGGAGAAAAUCAAACAGAAGUUUAAUAACAUGUAUACAUGCGAGAGACCGAGGAAAACUGAAUAACUCUCUCUUCUAUCUUUGAUGAUAGCCAUCCUAACUGGUGUGAGUCUGUGCACUAAGGCACUGCAGGGCUGUGUGAAGAAGGAAAGUUUGAAAACGUCUGAGAUCUCCGACACUGGGCCUCUGGUUCCACCCGGUGGGGCAGCAGGAGCUGAAGCAGGGGACCCGGCAUUGAAGUCUAUUUACAACCCGGUUACAGUGUAUCCUGUUUUCUCCCUGCUGCGCUGGGCUGAGUAUCUAACAAAAGAUUCUCUGAGUAUCUGAAAACAAGAGGUUCUGGGGGCAGAAUCUAUGAGAAAUUGUCACAGUGUGUCUGUAUUUUGUUUUUGUCAAAGGUGCAUAAUCUUUUCCAGGUUUUUCUGCUCUUCUCCAUUCUUUAAAGAAAUGAGAGAAAAGAGGCCAGUUUCCAAAAAGGGGGAGGUGCUGGCCAAGAGCCCAGGAUCUUCCUUCUGUCUCAGAAGGAAAUGUGAAGGUGGUUUGAGUUUGAAAUAAAGAUGGUGUGAGGGGUGGGGGAAGAAUUUGUGUUCUGGAGUCUGACGUCAUGGUCCUCUGUGGCCCCCACGCCCCCUCAAACAACUGUGCAAUAAGUGGAUGUUGGACAAAGUUACUUUUGAAUGUUUACUCAAAUCUCGUAUUUUGAAAGAAAUCAAUAUGAUGUGAGGGACAAAGCAGGGUCAUCCCGCUUCUGCCACCUCCAUGCACACCUCAUCCCACAGGAAGGGGGAUGAAGGGGACUUCUCGGCCAUCUUCAAGAAUGUGCAAGGUGCGUCCUUCCCAGAGGGAUCAAUCCUAUCUCUUGCACGACGUGUCUUGGAAUGAUCUGGCCUUUUUUUAUUAUGGAAAAUUUUACUGUAUCCCAAAGUAGAGAGAACAGCGUAA